GUGCCAGCCGCCGCGGUAAUACAGAGGGUGCAAGCGUUGUUCGGAAUUACUGGGCGUAAAGCGUGCGUAGGCGGUAUUGAGAGUCACGGGUGAAAUCCCUAAGCUUAACUUAGGAACUGCCUGUGAGACCUCAGUACUAGAGUAUGAGAGGGGAUGGUGGAAUACCCAGUGUAGCGGUGAAAUGCGUAGAGAUUGGGUGGAACACCGGUGGCGAAGGCGACCAUCUGGCUCAUAACUGACGCUCAGGCACGAAAGCGUGGGUAGCAAACAGGAUUAGAUACCCUGGUAGUCCACGCCGUAAACUAUGCAUACAAGAUGUAGUGAAAUUUAUUUUUUGCUGUGUCGAAGCUAACGCAAUUAGUAUGCCGCCUGGGGAGUACGGUCGCAAGACUAAAACUCAAAGGAAUUGACGG
RNAcentral lists this ribosomal RNA (413 nucleotides) under uncultured bacterium. RNAcentral's name for it is "bacterial SSU rRNA". It matches the Rfam family "Bacterial small subunit ribosomal RNA", at positions 505 to 916 of the family's 1533-position model. The record is from RNAcentral.